AAGCUUCAUCAGCACAUAUACUAUGAAUUGGAACAAUACAGAGACUAUUAGCAUUGCCCCUGCACAAAGAUGACAUACAAAUCCAUGAAGCAUUCUAUAUUAAA
Erinaceus europaeus (western European hedgehog) is the source of this 104-nucleotide small nuclear RNA. The record is from Ensembl. NCBI's taxonomy places the organism in Eukaryota, Metazoa, Chordata, Mammalia, Eulipotyphla, Erinaceidae.